Molecule: ribosomal RNA, 525 nt
Filed under: uncultured Campylobacterales bacterium
Lineage: Bacteria; Pseudomonadati; Campylobacterota; Epsilonproteobacteria; Campylobacterales
Description: bacterial SSU rRNA
Rfam family: Bacterial small subunit ribosomal RNA
Source: RNAcentral
CCUGGGGAGUGCGGUCGCAAGAUUAAAACUCAAAGGAAUAGACGGGGACCCGCACAAGUGGUGGAGCAUGUGGUUUAAUUCGAAGAUACGCGAAGAACCUUACCUAGCCUUGACAUAUAUUAGAACACUUUAGAGAUAGAGUGGUGCCUUCGGGAGCUUUUAUACAGGUGCUGCACGGCUGUCGUCAGCUCGUGUCGUGAGAUGUUGGGUUAAGUCCCGCAACGAGCGCAACCCUCGUCACUAGUUACUAACGGUUCGGCCGAGGACUCUAGUGAGACUGCCUUCGCAAGGAGGAGGAAGGUGAGGACGACGUCAAGUCAUCAUGGCCCUUACGGCUAGGGCAACACACGUGCUACAAUGGCCAGGACAAUGAGACGCGAUACCGCGAGGUGGAGCAAAUCUAUAAACCUGGUCUCAGUUCGGAUUGUUCUCUGCAACUCGAGAACAUGAAGCUGGAAUCACUAGUAAUCGUAGAUCAGCUAUGCUACGGUGAAUACGUUCCCGGGUCUUGCACACACUGCCCGU